This 57-nucleotide transfer RNA is filed under the name Bombus hypocrita sapporensis (Sapporo bumblebee). Its description in RNAcentral is "tRNA-Ser". The record is from RNAcentral. Lineage: Eukaryota; Metazoa; Arthropoda; Insecta; Hymenoptera; Apidae.
AGAUAAUAUUAAUAAAGCUUCUAACUUUAAUUUAGAUAUUAAAUUAUCAUUAUUUCU